GACGAAGGGUGCAAACGUUGCUCGGAAUCAUUGGGUGUAAAGCGCACGUAGGCGGCCUCGCAAGUCUGAUGUGAAAUCCCUCGGCUCAACCGAGGACGUGCAUCGGAAACUGCGGGGCUUGAGUACUGAAGAGGAUCGCGGAAUUCCCGGUGUAGAGGUGAAAUUCGUAGAUAUCGGGAGGAACACCAGUGGCGAAGGCGGCGAUCUGGGCAGAUACUGACGCUGAGGUGCGAAAGCGUGGGGAGCAAACAGG
RNAcentral lists this ribosomal RNA (253 nucleotides) under uncultured bacterium. RNAcentral describes it as "partial 16S ribosomal RNA". It matches the Rfam family "Bacterial small subunit ribosomal RNA", at positions 524 to 776 of the family's 1533-position model. The record is from RNAcentral.